AGUUUGAUCCUGGCUCAGGACGAACGCUGGCGGCGUGCCUAAUACAUGCAAGUCGUACGCUUCUUUUUCCACCGGAGCUUGCUCCACCGGAAAAAGAAGAGUGGCGAACGGGUGAGUAACACGUGGGUAACCUGCCCAUCAGAAGGGGAUAACACUUGGAAACAGGUGCUAAUACCGUAUAACAAUCGAAACCGCAUGGUUUUGAUUUGAAAGGCGCUUUCGGGUGUCGCUGAUGGAUGGACCCGCGGUGCAUUAGCUAGUUGGUGAGGUAACGGCUCACCAAGGCCACGAUGCAUAGCCGACCUGAGAGGGUGAUCGGCCACAUUGGGACUGAGACACGGCCCAAACUCCUACGGGAGGCAGCAGUAGGGAAUCUUCGGCAAUGGACGAAAGUCUGACCGAGCAACGCCGCGUGAGUGAAGAAGGUUUUCGGAUCGUAAAACUCUGUUGUUAGAGAAGAACAAGGAUGAGAGUAACUGUUCAUCCCUUGACGGUAUCUAACCAGAAAGCCAC
Molecule: ribosomal RNA, 513 nt
Filed under: Enterococcus sp.
Lineage: Bacteria; Bacillati; Bacillota; Bacilli; Lactobacillales; Enterococcaceae
Description: bacterial SSU rRNA
Rfam family: Bacterial small subunit ribosomal RNA
Source: RNAcentral